This 400-nucleotide ribosomal RNA is filed under the name uncultured bacterium. RNAcentral's name for it is "bacterial SSU rRNA". It matches the Rfam family "Bacterial small subunit ribosomal RNA", at positions 29 to 416 of the family's 1533-position model. The record is from RNAcentral.
AGCGAACGCUGGCGGCGUGCCUAACACAUGCAAGUCGAACGUGAAAUGGGGCAACCCAAAGUAAAGUGGCGUACGGGUGAGCAACGCGUAGGUAAUCUACCAAAGUGUCUGGAAUAACCGGCCGAAAGGCUGGCUAAUACUGGAUAGAGCGACGGGAUCCGUAAUUGGGUCUUUCGGAAAGGAGGCAGCAAUGCCCUUCGCACUUUGAUGAGCCUGCGUCUCACUAGCAGUUGGUAAGGUAACGGCUUACCAAGGCAUUGAUGAGUAGCUGGUCUGAGAGGAUGAUCAGCCACACUGGAACUGAAACAACGGUCCAGACUCCUACGGGAGGCAGCAGUGGGGAAGUCUUGCGCAAUGGACGAAAGUCUGACGCAGCCACGCCGCGUGAGUGAAGAAGGCC